CAGCAGAGGCCACCGGAGUUCCGUCGCCGGAAUUUUGUGCCGGCGAAAGUCAGUGGUCCCAAUUUCAUAAGCGGCUCGUUCUAUUAAGUCAGCGAAAAUUCUCCGUUACAAGACUAGGUGAGCUGGUGCUGCUGCAUGACAUCAAGCAUAUGGGGGCUAGACUGUAGUUUGAAGUUAACUUUUGGUUUGAUCAUUAAUGAAUUUUAUAGAACAUUGUUACAUGGUUUGAGUUUGAAUAAAGAGGGGUCAUCUAUGAUUCCCGAGUUGUAAUUACAUUUUCUAUUCCGCUGCAAUUUGGUUUUGAGACAAUGAAUUUGAGUUACCGUAUUUCUAAUUA
This is a long non-coding RNA of Beta vulgaris subsp. vulgaris (sugar beet), 337 nucleotides long. RefSeq lists it as uncharacterized. Lineage: Eukaryota; Viridiplantae; Streptophyta; Magnoliopsida; Caryophyllales; Amaranthaceae. The transcript is spliced from 3 exons. The record is from RefSeq and is a predicted model, not a curated record.